CUGAUGCAGCGACGCCGCGUGAGGGAUGACGGCCUUCGGGUUGUAAACCUCUUUCAGUAGGGACGAAGCGCAAGUGACGGUACCUAUAGAAGAAGCACCGGCCAACUACGUGCCAGCAGCCGCGGUAAUACGUAGGGUGCGAGCGUUGUCCGGAAUUACUGGGCGUAAAGAGCUCGUAGGUGGUUUGUCGCGUUGUUCGUGAAAACUCACAGCUCAACUGUGGGCGUGCGGGCGAUACGGGCAGACUUGAGUACUGCAGGGGAGACUGGAAUUCCUGGUGUAGCGGUGGAAUGCGCAGAUAUCAGGAGGAACACCGGUGGCGAAGGCGGGUCUCUGGGCAGUAACUGACGCUGAGGAGCGAAAGCGUGGGGAGCGAACAGGAUUAGAUACCCUGGUAGUCCACGCCGUAAACGGUGGGUACUAGGUGUGGGUUUCCUUCCUUGGGAUCCGUGCCGUAGCUAACGCAUUAAGUACCCCGCCUGGGGAGUACGGCCGCAAGGCUAAAACUCAAAGAAAUUGACGGGGGCCCGCACAAGCGGCGGAGCAUGUGGAUUAAUUCGAUGCAACGCGAAGAACCUUACCUGGGUUUGACAUGCACAGGACGCCGGCAGAGAUGUCGGUUCCCUUGUGGCCUGUG
Molecule: ribosomal RNA, 637 nt
Filed under: Mycobacterium sp. Se1Pt_299
Lineage: Bacteria; Bacillati; Actinomycetota; Actinomycetes; Mycobacteriales; Mycobacteriaceae
Description: bacterial SSU rRNA
Rfam family: Bacterial small subunit ribosomal RNA
Source: RNAcentral